This 361-nucleotide ribosomal RNA is filed under the name uncultured bacterium. Its description in RNAcentral is "partial 16S ribosomal RNA". It matches the Rfam family "Bacterial small subunit ribosomal RNA", at positions 338 to 696 of the family's 1533-position model. The record is from RNAcentral.
CCUACGGGAGGCAGCAGUGAGGAAUAUUGGUCAAUGGGCGCGAGCCUGAACCAGCCAAGCAGCGUGAAGGAUGACUGUCCUACGGGUUGUAACCUUCUUUUAUAAAGGAAUAAAGUGAGUCUCGUGUGCCUUUUUGUAUGUACUUUAUGAAUAAGGAUCGGCUAACCCCGUUCCAGCAGCCGCGGUAAUACGGAGGAUCCGAGCGUUGUCCUGAUUUAUGGGGUUUAAAGGGAGCGUAGAGGGGUUGUUAAGUCAGUUGUGAAAGCUUGCGGCUCAACCGUAAAAUUGCAAUUGAUACUGGCAGACUUGAGUACAGUAGAGGUAGGCGGAAUUCGAGGUGUAGCGGUGAAAUGCUUAGAUA